CGAAGUGUACUCCAAAUGCGCCGAUUUCCCCAAAUAUCAAGCGUGGUCCGGUGCACGCUUCGUGGUCCCAUAUAUCCCACAAUUCAUAGCGCGGCGGUGGGUGUGGAUAAUUUUGCCGCAAAUGUAAUGGGGAAGGCUUUAGGACCCAGGAGGACCCAAUGGAGGGUAUAAAAGAGGAAGUAGCAACAGGUGCUCUUCAUUUCCACUGAUGAGCGGCUGUGAACAAUGGUUGCGUGAGUAGGUGAAGAGCCUGAGAAGUUUUAAUUGUCUGCUACACAAACAGUUGUUUUAAACCUCUACAGCAGAGGUUCGAGGUACAGGCUGUUUUUCUUUUAGUGCUUUUUUUUUUUUUUUUUUUUUUUAAUUUGUUGAAAUGUAUUUGAUGUUUAUUGUAUUUUAUGUUUUUAGUAGUGAUUUUAGAAGAUAAGCCAAGAUAAGCCAGGUGUGCAGCAAACAGUUGUCUGCUGGAGGUGUAUUAACUUAAUAUAUUUGGACAUUAAAAAAAGUAUAAUGCACUAUAAUAUAAUUUACAUUGUAUUGCCUCCUACAGGGCAGGCUGCACAUGUGAAUUUGUCACCGUUUAUUCCUCCUUCUCCUUUUUGUUGCGUUUUUGGUUUUAGUAGGGUCACCUUUUAAAACUUUUUUUUUUUUUAAUUUCUCCUGGGCUGGUGCAAUAUUAGUCGGGCAAUGUGCAAUCCCUGAGCUGGGCUCUUACCUUAAGGAAAGCAGGUCUUUUUAGAGGUGCUCCGUGUGGAUUUGCAGUGAAUAAGCUUCAUUAAGAGUGAUUUUAGUGCCACCGAUUAUGGCUUGAACUAAAACACUUAGUGCAUGCGAUAAGUGUUCUGUUGGGCUCGUAUUUAUUUGGGGUGAAUUUGUUUCUUUUAAAGCAACGAGCAUCUGGGACCACCGGGGUAGAGCAAGCCCUCAGGUGAUAGCUGCAUUGCUGGCAGGUUGCACCAAUAAGGCUAUGUGGUGGUCGUUAGUGACCUUUCCCAUUUUGAUGUUUUAGGCCUUUUGCAAACCCUUUGUGUUCUUUUAAAAUAAUACAUUUUAACAUAUCUGCCUGAUAUUGACCCUCUUGUCCCGUUUAUUCUGGGCUCGUUCCUGUAAG
Long non-coding RNA from Astatotilapia calliptera (eastern happy), 1111 nucleotides. The record is from Ensembl. NCBI's taxonomy places the organism in Eukaryota, Metazoa, Chordata, Actinopteri, Cichliformes, Cichlidae.